GUGCUCGCUUCAGAAACACAUAUACUAAAAUUGGAACGAUACAGAGAUUAGCAUGGCCCCUGCACAAGGAUGCCAUGCAAAUUCAUGAAGCAUUUCACCUUAAA
RNAcentral lists this small nuclear RNA (104 nucleotides) under Microcebus murinus (gray mouse lemur). Lineage: Eukaryota; Metazoa; Chordata; Mammalia; Primates; Cheirogaleidae. The record is from RNAcentral.